GAUGAACGCUGGCGGCGUGCCUAAUACAUGCAAGUCGAGCGAACGGACCAGGCUCUUGCUGCUCUGUUGUUAGCGGCAGACGUGUGAAUAACGCGUGUAUACCCUCCCUAUCAUACUGGUAUAACUUCGGAACACCGGCGCUAAUACCGUAUGAUCUUUUGCUCCACAUUGUUCAAUGGUGAGAUACGGUCUUUCUGGCUCUUAUCGAUGCAUCUGCGCUGCAUUAGCUAGUUGGUGAGGUAACGGCUUACGAAGGCAACGAUGCAUAGCCGACCGGAGAGGGGGAUAGGCCACACUGGAACUGAGACGCGGUCCAGGCUCCUAAGAGACGCAGCAGUAGGGAAUCUGACGCAAUGGGCGAAAGCAUGACGGAGCAACGGCGAGUGAGUGAUGAAGGUCUUCGGAGCGGAAUAACCGGUUAUGAGGGAAGAACAGAUGUGGAAGGAACUGUGCAGAUAGUGACGGUAACUAAUAAGAAAGCCACGGCUAACUACGUG
Molecule: ribosomal RNA, 497 nt
Filed under: uncultured bacterium
Lineage: Bacteria
Description: partial 16S ribosomal RNA
Rfam family: Bacterial small subunit ribosomal RNA
Source: RNAcentral